This is a long non-coding RNA of Oncorhynchus keta (chum salmon), 721 nucleotides long. RefSeq lists it as uncharacterized. The transcript is spliced from 6 exons. The record is from RefSeq and is a predicted model, not a curated record. NCBI's taxonomy places the organism in Eukaryota, Metazoa, Chordata, Actinopteri, Salmoniformes, Salmonidae.
UUCAAAUCCCCGAGCUGACAAGGUACAACUCUGUCAUUCUGCCCCUCAAAACAGGGGGCAGAAAAAUAAGAAUUUGUUCUUAACUGACUUGCCAAGUUAAAUAAAAGUAUAUAUUUUUUAAAGUACAGUCUCAGGUUGUAGACGUAUCCCAUCAUCCUCUCUCUCAGUACAGUCUCAGGUUGUAGUCGUAUCCCAUCAUCCUCUCAGUACAGUCUCAGGUUGUAGACGUAUCCCAUCAUCCUCUCAGUACAGUCUCAGGUUGUAGACGUAUCCCAUCAUCCUCUCUCUCAGUACAGUCUCAGGUUGUAGACGUAUCCCAUCAUCCUCUCUCUCAGUACAGUCUCAGGUUGUAGACGUAUCCCAUCAUCCUCUCAGUACAGUCUCAGGUUGUAGACGUAUCCCAUCAUCCUCUCUCUCAGUACAGUCUCAGGUUGUAGAUGUAUCCCAUCAUCCUCUCUCUCAGUACAGUCUCAGGUUGUAGACGUAUCCCAUCAUCCUCUCUCUCAGUACAGUCUCAGGUUGUAGAUGUAUCCCAUCAUCCUCUCUCUCAGUACAGUCUCAGGUUGUAGACGUAUCCCAUCAUCCUCUCUCUCAGUACAGUCUCAGGUUGUAGAUGUAUCCCAUCAUCCUCUCUCUCAGUACAGUCUCAGGUUGUAGACGUAUCCCAUCAUCCUCUCUCUCAGUACAGUCUCAGGUUGUAGACGUAUCCCAUCAUCCUCUC